GUGACACUGGUGACAGAUUUUCUUUAAAGGUUGCUGUAGAAGUUAUGCCAUUAACUCUCUUGUGAGCAGUACUGGUGUGAGCAGUCUGUAAUGGCAGCCGUCAUUUAGAUGUAUGAGCAGCACCAUUAAUUUACAGUACAGCAGCAAGAUGCUUUGGAAAAAUCCAGAUAUACGACAUCCAGUGAUUGCCCCUAGUCCAGUUGAGCUCACCUCCUCAUAAAAGCUGAUCAGCUGCCAAGCUCUAUAUUCACAUUCUGAAAGACGACAUUCAGCUCGCUCACAACAGAUAUGUUGUGCAUGUGCGUGUUUACGUGGGGAGGGACAUACCUGAAAUAUAGACGCAGAACAGUCAGCUCCAAACAACUGUAUGACCUGAAUGGACCCAGCGAUGCAGCAGACCUUACAUCAACCCAGUCAGAAAGAGAUAGUGCCGUAUGCAGGUUCACUGCCUUCAAUGGGUUUCCUUGUUUCCACAGUGAGCUAAAAUAAAUAGAAAUGUUAAAAGACAUA
Molecule: long non-coding RNA, 510 nt
Organism: Hyla sarda
Lineage: Eukaryota; Metazoa; Chordata; Amphibia; Anura; Hylidae
Exons: 4
Source: RefSeq, a predicted model, not a curated record